AACGAACGCUUGCGGCGCGCCUAAUACAUGCAAGUCGAACGAGGUAGCAAUACCAAGUGGCGCACGGGUGAGUAACGCGUGGAUAAUCUGCCUACCAGUGGGGAAUAACUAUCCGAAAGGAUAGCUAAUACCGCAUGAGGCCACAGUUUCUGCGGAAACAGGGGUUAAAGAUUUAUCGCUGGUAAAUGAGUCUGCGUGGGAUUAGCUAGUUGGUGAGGUAAUGGCUCACCAAGGCAACGAUCUCUAACAGGUCUGAGAGGAUGACCUGUCACACUGGAACUGAGACACGGUCCAGACUCCUACGGGAGGCAGCAGUAGGGAAUAUUGCACAAUGGGGGAAACCCUGAUGCAGCGACGCCGCGUGAGUGAUGAAGGCCUUAGGGGUCGUAAAGCUCUGUUGAAUGGGAAAGAAAAAAUGACGGUACCAUUCGAGAAAGGAUCGGCU
RNAcentral lists this ribosomal RNA (445 nucleotides) under uncultured bacterium. RNAcentral's name for it is "bacterial SSU rRNA". It matches the Rfam family "Bacterial small subunit ribosomal RNA", at positions 29 to 498 of the family's 1533-position model. The record is from RNAcentral.